This 589-nucleotide long non-coding RNA is filed under the name Monodelphis domestica (gray short-tailed opossum). Its description in RNAcentral is "lncRNA (ENSMODG00000045321.1)". Lineage: Eukaryota; Metazoa; Chordata; Mammalia; Didelphimorphia; Didelphidae. The record is from RNAcentral.
GACAAUGAGAUUGUUAUGGUAAUGACGACUUGUGAAAAUACAAGAGUCAGCAAAUUCCAAUGGCAGGACAAAAAGUUAAGAUGAUUGGCAAUGGCCCGGGAUGCAGUGAAUGACCUCAGUGUCUUCAUCUUCAAUGUCUGACCAAGCUCUAAGCACUCUUCAGUACCUGCUUCAGCUGCCUUCAUGGUCACUGGAGUGAAUUGUUCUCAUCCGCUCAUUCCAAGAAGUCUUCACAUUCUUGGGAUAGAUGUCAUUCUAGCCUACCAACAGGUUUGAGAUCUAUUGGUUGCCUCAACCUGAUUUAACCCAUCUGUUAAGAUGGUAUUACCAGAGUAUGGCUACUAGAUAUGCUACAGCUUCUUGGAGCCACAGCUCAUUUUGCAGAUGAGGAAACUGAAGCAAAUAGGGUAAAACGACUGCUCUUUACUGGUACAUCUAAGCACAUAGUAGUAGGUAUAAAUACUUAUUCCAUUUCCCCUUUCCCAUUUCACUUACAGUAAGAGAUAAGAUAAUUGGAUACUUUAAUGAAAUGAGGUUAAAUCUCAAUUGAUUAAAUAAACUUCGGUUUGAGAUUCUGUUUUUAGUUUAU